Callorhinus ursinus (northern fur seal) is the source of this 2435-nucleotide non-coding RNA. Lineage: Eukaryota; Metazoa; Chordata; Mammalia; Carnivora; Otariidae. The record is from RefSeq and is a predicted model, not a curated record.
GAGACCCGGCCAAGGGCUUCCGCUGUCCUGCUCGGCCGCCGCAGUAGCUGAGUUCAGCGACAAGCUAGCGCCCGGGGACCUGCGGCAUCGCACCGUAGACGGGAAGGGCUCCUCUACAGAGAGGGCUACCUGUCUUUAAGCAGGGGAGUAAUGUAAUCCUACUAGGCUUCUAGAAAUAUUCUAGGAGAAAUGGUAAAUGAAUUGGAAGGGGGCAAGACUGGAAGCAAGAGAGAAGAGACGUGCGGUUGUCCUAGAAAGAACCAAUACUAGCAUCUUUACCUUCAAAUCAUUGGCCAGAUGACAGCAAUUCACUCUGACUAAAUAUGUUCCUAGUUUGGAGUUGAUAGCUCUGUUAACAGUGAUGUGUUAUGUGUUAUCAUGAGCCUUAAGCUCCCCCUACUGUUGUAGUGAGCCAGUCUUCUGAGCUGUUUUGCCCAGGAAUGGAUUCAGUCCAGCCCUUUCGGGCUGCAGAACAGAAGGAAUGUCAACUAGUUACAGAAUCUAGCCUGCACAGAAAUGGUGCUUCUGACAGGAGUCCUUCAGACAAAACUUAAGGCAGUUCUGCUGGGAGGAUUCCCUUGGGCCUCAGAAGUCCAGCUCUGGGAGCUCCGCCGUCAGUGGCUGCGGCCCGAGACGCACAGCAAGGAGCAGAUCGUGGAGCUGCUGGUGCCGGAGCAGUUCCUGACCAUCCUGCCCGAGGAGCUGCAGGCCCGGGUGCGGGAGCAGCCCAGAGUAUAGGGAGGACAUGGUUCCUGGACUGGGAGGGCUUGUCGAGGAAGCUGGAUAAUCCCCAAGGACAGGUGAGAUAAAGAAGAAAUGAUCUGUCAUCAGAAGGCAGGUGUUGUCUCCAGAGAGCGAUAAGAGAGGUGAGAUCUCCUCCCACAUGUAGUGAGGGAAGUGGCCAAGAUGCACUGGCAGAGUGCGUCCCCUCCCGAUAUUCUAUGUGCUUUAAUUCCCCGUCCUUGCAGGUCAAGGGAAACUGCUUUCUGUCCAGCUUUUCUAUGUUCCCCAUUAAUAUUGGGAUCGAAGCUCUAGAACUCUCCGCAUAUAUCACCCUGGUCAAAUUGAUCCCAUUGUCCCUGGAUCCUAGUUCUACAGGGACAGGAAGGGCCCCAGGGGCAGAAGCUUUAUAUGGCAGCAGCAGAGGACUCAUGGGGUCCAGCUCCGGCCAGAACGGGUUAGCUCAAUGCUGAACCUUGGGAGCUGCCUCCAUUCAGGAGAAAGAUGAUUUGGUUGAAAUGGAGAAUGAGAAGAUGCUUCCAAAGUAGAAGACGUCUGAAGAAAUAACAUGCCAACAGGGACACAUUGUCAGAUUAGAUGGAGGUGUUGCUCAGUGCUUUCGUUACAUAAAAGUCCAGAAAUACCAGGGAAGACUAGAAGGAUAUCCAUGAUGGCGUAAGUGUGAUGAAUGUGGAAUGAGUUUCACUCAGAGCUCCAUCCGAGCUACACACUGAGGAGAAACUCUAUGAAUGUGAUGAGCGUGGAAGAGCUUUUAGUCAAGAGUGCAGGCUUCACUGAAGAUAAGAGAGUUCACACUGAAUUUGACUCACAGAUGUGGAGGAUAUGGGACAAUAUGCAAACUGGACUAGUUCAUCACAGAGAAGCCAUCUUGGAGAGAGACCCUGUAAUAGAAGUGACAGGUAAAGCCUUGGAGAGUGGUCAGCUCUUAACCAGCACCAGAGACUUCACACCAGCGAGAAGUGUUACCAUCCGAACAAGUGUGGAAGAGCUAAUAGUCAGAACACAGAGCUUUUCCACUGUGUCAGAAUCUGUGUUGGAGAAAAACUCUUAGUGUAAUUGUAGUAAAAAUUUUCCUGGACAUUUUAUUCCUUAUUCAGUAUCAGAAAAGUCACUCAAGAGAGAAUGUGGGAAGUUGAUAAAUAUGGAUGAAAAGGCUGUGAACGGUAGCAUCUAACACUAAAAACUUUUAAGUGUCCAGCAUCUGAGACUGGCAAGGCAGAAUCUCUCUUCAUUCCAGACCUGUAGGUGGUCUUUGAUGGGAACUGGCCCUUCAGAAUGUCCCUCAAAACCUGGUCAGAUUCAAUAGAGCAAGCCAGUUACUUUUUCCUUAACAGCUUCAUCAAACAAGCUACAUUAUUUUAGUGAUUCAAAGGGCUGCCUAUGGUCCACCACUUCAGAUUUCCAGAUGUUUUAUUAGUUGUUCCUAAAUACAGUUCUUAAAAAAGCUUGGACUAAUUUUUUUUUUAGUGAAAACUUAAGUUGUGUAUAAAAUACAAAUAGCAAUAUUACUAGAUGGUUAAUGUAUUUUAAAAUGUUGCUGCAGUGGUUUGUCAAGUCAAAAAAAACUUGUUCAGCAUCUUUUUAGUGACAACAUGGUGGAUCCUUGGGCCUUCCGUUCCUAUCUAAGUUGUGAUGUGUGACACAUAGCCCCCAGCCAAGACCCCAAAGAAGAAAGAUGCAUCUUUUUUUUUUUU